AUGGAGGGGCGCACAGGGUACCGCAUGGGUUUUGUGGGCCUCUCUGCCCGUGGGCCCCCGUCUCCUGCAGGGACACUAACCCUCUCCUCCUCGUCCUCUGUUUUCCUUCGAGCGUCUGUGCAGGUUCUGACCAUGAGUCACUCCACGGCUCAGGCUCCUGUGAAAUCCGUUUCUGGUGCUGCUCCUCCCACACCUGCCCCAGUGGUUCCUGUCGCCCUGCCCGUGCUGGCCCUGCCGUCACGACUUGCCCCAGGUUCAGCUGCCCGGGUCCCCAUUUGUCGUCUACGAUCAUGGUUGCCAAACCUACUGCUGCCUUUUCUCAUGAUUUUUUCUUGUUUCUUACUGAUAAAGGACCCCUUUAUCUACUCGCGUGGAUCUCACCCGUUGGCUGUAUUUGAUUUGAGGUCUUCAUGCUCAUCUACAUCACAUUCUCGGUGCAUCUGUCCCCGUGACGGUGCCCCACACGCUGAGCAGGGGCCGCGCACCGGCGCCUCUGGCCACUGUGGCCCGAGAAUGCGCAUUCUGGCUCUGGUUCUGUGUCGUGAGCUGCCCGGCCUAGCCGCGUGUCCCCAGAGCCCGAGGGGGACGGGAGACGCCUCCCGUGAGACCAAAUGUAUGUUUGCUCUGCAUCGUGCUUCUGGCUCCCUAACCCCCUGGGGUUUUCCAGGUGAGAAGAGCCAAUAAGGUGUCUUUUGUAUCAUAAUGGGGAGACGCUGGAAAGCCCCUAGGAUCGCACUGGUGGCCAGGGAUCCAAGCCUGUGAUCUGAGAGCAGGAACCACCUGGCCUCUGGGAGGGGAGAGGGCCUGGGGGUUGCAUGGAUCACCUAUGGCCAAUGACUUGAUCAAGCCUCCGUAAAAAGCCAAAGAAGGAUGGGGUUGGGGUCAGAGAGCUUCGGGCGGUUGAACUCUUGGAGACUGGGGACAGCCGUGUGCUCAAGGGCUCGAGGGGGCUCCACCCCUCCCCUCCCCUCGCCCUGCCCGGCUCUGCAGCUCUUGGGCUGUUCUGAGUUCUAGCCUUGACGAUGACCAGCUGAUCGACUAAGUAAAGUGUUCCCUGCGAGCUGCCCUAGCCAACCAGGUGGGCCCACGGAGGGAGUCACUGGAACCUCCGAUCUAUAGCCAGCUGCUCAGAGGCACAGGUGACAACCAGGACGGCCACCGGCAUCUGGAGUUGGGGGAGGGGCAGUCUUGUGGGACCCAGGGGGCUGAGGCCAGUCCCCAGGAGGACGGUGUCGGAACCGAGGAGAGUUGUAGGGCCCCCGCGGGGGGGGGGGUGGGGGAGCUGAUGUGGGAGGCAUAUUCUCCCUGCAAGUGCCCUCAGCAAGCCCCCCGCCCGGCGAGGGCUCCCUAACCACCAAUCGCCCACCCGGGUGCCAAGGCCGAGGGCGGAGGUGGGCUCCCCAGCAGCCAUCACCUUGUUCUCAACAGCCCUCGCCCUGGAGGGCCAGACCCCCACCUCUUCCUGGCCCUCCCCACCGCCCCGCAGCCACCCCGUUCCAGACAACCUCAGUGCCCGGGUUUCCCCCUGGGGUCCAUCCUUGUCCUCCUUCUGUGGUCCCCCCGGGGGGACGGGGCAAGAGCCCGCAUUAGCCAGGAACCAGGACAGGACAGAGGAGACAGGCCAUGGAGGGGCCCUGGUGGGGAAGACGCCUCCCACCCCGGGAGCUCUGCUCUUCUGCUGAGACGUCUUAGCUUCGGCAGGGUGGGCACCCGUGGCUGGUUAGAGGGGCCCCUAGGAAGCCUGCUGGUAGUGGACGAGGCCGUUCCCUCGUCUCUCAGCAGGGCCUGGGGGCCUGAGGAGGCCGGGACCACCCCCCUGCCACACACACACACAGCAAACCUCCACCAGCUGCUCCGCGGGGCCCUGUGAAGCUGGGAAGGACUCCGGGGCAGCGAGGGGCAAAUACUGUCCCCCCUCAAGAAGGUCGAGUUAUUCACUAGCCUCCAAAAUAAAUAAAUGAGCACCACAGUACUUAACGGAACG
This 1984-nucleotide long non-coding RNA is filed under the name Felis catus (domestic cat). Its description in RNAcentral is "lncRNA (ENSFCAG00000047598.1)". Lineage: Eukaryota; Metazoa; Chordata; Mammalia; Carnivora; Felidae. The record is from RNAcentral.